Molecule: ribosomal RNA, 270 nt
Filed under: uncultured archaeon
Lineage: Archaea
Description: partial 16S ribosomal RNA
Rfam family: Archaeal small subunit ribosomal RNA
Source: RNAcentral
CUGCAGCUCAAGUGGUGACCGCUAUUAUUGGGCCUAAAACGUCCGUAGCCUGUUUAGUAAAUGCCUGGGUAAAUCGUGUAGCUUAACUAUACGAAUUCCGGGUAGACUGCUAAACUUGAGACCGGGAGAGGCUAGAGGUACUUCUGGGGUAGAGGUGAAAUUCUGUAAUCCUGGGGGGACCACCAGUGGCGAAGGCGUCUAGCUAGAACGGGUCUGACGGUGAGGAACGAGGCCCUGGGGCGCAAACCGGAUUAGAGACCCGAGUAGUCC